RNAcentral lists this transfer RNA (111 nucleotides) under uncultured Acidilobus sp. CIS. RNAcentral's name for it is "tRNA-His". The record is from RNAcentral. Lineage: Archaea; Thermoproteati; Thermoproteota; Thermoprotei; Acidilobales; Acidilobaceae.
CCCGCCGUAGCUCAGCGGCAGAGCGCCCGGCUGUAGUGGACGGGGCGGCUGGAGGCCCAGCCCCUCCGGCCGAUACCGGGUGGUCCGGGGUUCGAUUCCCGCGCGGGACCA